Peromyscus californicus insignis is the source of this 5211-nucleotide long non-coding RNA. RefSeq lists it as uncharacterized. NCBI's taxonomy places the organism in Eukaryota, Metazoa, Chordata, Mammalia, Rodentia, Cricetidae. The record is from RefSeq and is a predicted model, not a curated record. The transcript has 3 exons.
CAUCUGACCAGGGUCUGGGCAAGUCCACCAACCAAGCCUUCUGCUCCCAGUGGAGCAUUCUUCUGGAACUUUCCUUCUGGCCUUUUAUUGUCCAAACUACCUUUGUUAUUUCAGACAGCCUCACACAUUUGAACACCCGGAACAAGACUGCAAACACGGAGAUACCUGUGAUUGUUCACCCUGGGCAUUUGUGUUUGCAAAUGGCAGUUUCGAGAAUUUAUGCACUGCUUGUAGCUCCCCAGCACUCAGGUCUUGAAGGAACACUGAGCUUAUUGCCCUUGGGGCACAAGUGCACUGUUAGCACAGCAACGGGUAACCAUAUAAUCCUGCCUCGGGAGUAAACACACGGUUUUAAGGGAUAUGCUCUGUUUGUAUGUCCUGAGAUUGAAAAGCCUGUCCAAUCUUUUAGAGUCUGAAUACUACCUAUGAUUUAUGAAGUGUGUAUGUGUAAUAAGGAAACGUGAGGUCUUACAGUAAGCCUCAUGUCCUCUUGUGAACAGUUGCAUGCUCGCUGAACCUUGGGUUGUCUCUCCUCAUUAAUCAUGAACUCUGGGUUUGGCUAUUUCGGACUAACAAUGCCUCCAUUGUCCUCACAUUGUAAGGACUGGCCUGAUCCAGGAGUCUAGAAGUGAAAAGUACGAACUGAGCAGGAGGUAAGCUGUGUGCAUGCAGAGCAAAGGUUAAGGCGUGUGUUGUAUCUAGAGGCCAAAACUGGGUCUGAUACUGUGGAGAGAAGUCACGAGUUAAGGAGCAGACAAAAAGUUCUGAUCCAAGUGGCCAGGGUCCAGCACCAGGGAGAGUCAGACAUCUAGCAGCACGUGGACAUGAGCCUGGAAGUCAUUUUUCUCCAUGGUUAUCUGCUCAGAGAAGAGGUCAGAUUCUAGGUGGGGUCUGCUGACUCAAUCAGAAAAUAGGUCUGAGAGAAUGCUGUACUUCCUCUUAAUUAACGAGAAAAAUGCUGCAUGGUGACCUCAUAAUUCAUAAUUCUCCUGCCCCAAACACCAGCUAGUUUAUUCCCCUACACUCCUACUGGGGGAGGCAGUGGUAGGGCACAGGAAGAGGGUAAUUAUGACAGUAGAUUCUCCUGCUUCAGCUUUGGGUCUUAACGUGAAAUUGGAAAAAGUCUACACUGUUGGACCAUAAGGAAUAAGCCACACCCCUGAAGAGCCAGGUCUGACUCCAACUCCCGUGUGCAGAGCCCUGGACUGAACAAAAUGGAAAGAGCGAGCUGAGCACCAGCAAGCAUCCAUUCACUGUCUGUUCCUGAUCAUGGGUGCCAUAUGAUCACUGCCUCCAGUCCUGCCUCUCUGUGAGUUCCCUGCUGUGGUGGACUGGAGCUGGAACCACGAGCUGAAAUAAGCCACCACACAUCAGCACACACUCCUGUAAUCUCAGGAUUCCGAUGCUGAGAUGGGAGGUGGGGACAAGAGAAUUCUCAAAGCCCAUGUUCCAACUAGACUGAUAAAAGCAAGAAUGAAAAAGAAGCCCUCCUGCAAGGAGGAAGCCUCCCAAGAGGUGGGAUCACGGGUGUGCACCACCACGUCUGGAUCAUGAUGCGUACCCAGAAGUGGUGUGUUUCCUCUCUGGAACACUGCAUCCUGGUACAUACUUCCCAAUGAGACUCACUGUCGGUUUGUCCCACUCCUGGGGAUGUUACAAUCUUCUGAUGCUUCGUCGCUGACAAGCAGAGGAAGAACCACAGGAACAGAGUGUCAAGAUUCAAUUAGGUGGAAGGAUUUCUGAGACACAUGUCAUACGUUUUUUUCUGAAGACAUUUCUGAGGGGGUGGAGCGGGAGUGUCACUGUUUCUAACUGCCCUUUUAUGUACACCUUACACAUUUCAACUACUCUAGGCAAAGUGAGCCUGGGUAGCACUGUGGUGAAUGGGUCCAGUAAAGAGGGUUUACCGUGGUUCCUAGCUAGGUCCAAAUGGGUCAGUUUGGAGAAACAGACCAAGGACCAAAGGGCUCCCCAUCACUGAGUCUGCAGGUGUUACAGAGCGCAGAGAGGAGGGAGGGUGCGUUCCACCUUGGGACUUCCCAAAGAUUGGAGCUUCCUGGAAACCGUUCCGCGGUUUGCAUCCUGCAGUCUGGACAAACUGUUGCUUUCGGUGCUCCUCUACACAAACGUGCUGGCUUACAUGAGUGGGAAAAGAAGACAAGGAUAGCUUUGAACUUCUGCUACAGUCUGCUCGUUUCAGUGGCAGAUAGGUGAAGAAUGACUGGUCCACCGACCGAGUCAGCAGAAGGGGAAGUCAAAAUCAGAGUCAAAGCCCAAGGAGAGAGGUGUUGUCACCCAGAAAUUCUUUCUCAAAGAGACUUCCCUACUCUUUUUAAUGUCUUGUUAAUGUCGUACCGGGACUUGUCACGUGGGAGUCAGACAGGUCUCUCCGUGGAAGGCACUAAUUAUAAUUCUAUGAAAAAAAAUAGUUCUGAAUUUAAAUGCUGCUCUUUAAUCAUCCAAACUAUUCCAAAGGCUAAUCAAGAAGAUUGAAUGAUGAAUGGUGUUCUGUAAUGAAUGAAUUUCUCAUGAAAUGUUAGUGAAACAUACUGCGUAUUUGCCUUUGUAUUGAGCUGUUCAUUUCCUCUGAAUUUCUGCAGAAGACUGACAGAUGGUACUGGAGCAAAGGGAUGAUUUUCACCAACUACCAAGUCUCUUUGGUGUGAAAUGUAGGGGUGUGUGUGUGUGUGUGUGUGUGUGUGUGUGUGUGUGUGUGCAUAUAGGUGUGUAUGUCCAUGCACACAUUGUGGAGACCAGAGACCAGUGAGUAUCUUCCUCUAUCAUUAUCUGAGACAGGGUCCCUCAUGGACAGGAGCUCACUGAUUGACUAGACCAACUGGCUAAAAAGCCCUAAGGAUCCUCCUGUCUCUGCCUCCUGAUGCUGGGAUUACAGGCACAUACCACCACAGCCAGCUUUUAUAUGGGUGCUUGGGUUCUGAACUCAGGUCCUCAAGCUUAUAAAGCAACCAUGAAACGCUCUCCCCAGCCCCUCUGAGUGCCUAGUUUUGAUCAUUUAUUCACAUACAGUAGUGAUGUAUUCUGCACAUAGCAUUUUCAGGGAGAUAAAUUGUGUUGAUUGAGAGUGACAGCACGGCUGAGGACCCCCGGCAAUGAUGUUGAGGGCGUAACAGGAUUUGUAGGAGAUAUUUAUGGCUGACCGGGAGCCAGUUAGGAUGCUUUUGUGUGCAAAUGGAGCUGACGGAAUUGAAGAACCUGUUUACUUUUCCAUCCACUCACCCUUAGAAUCCUCUGAGCUGUCAUGUUCUCAUUUGGCCACCAGAUGGCCUUUAAUUCUUUAACUCUCGCGCAGGGGAUAGACAGGUCCAGUGAGGCUGUGGACGGUCUGUCACGGGUACCUCAGGUGGUGCAUCAAAAAUCAAUCCUACCGUAAGUAUUCUUCGCUCUGCCAGGAAUGACCCAUUUCAGAGCCCAUCUGGUCCUCCUCGCUCUGCCGUCACGCCUGCCAGAUGGACAGACUGUCCUCUGGGAAUUUAAACAACCAUUUGCACAAAACCUAAUGAACACUGCAUUAUAAACUCGAUUGCUCCGGGUUCAUUUCUGCCUUUGAUAAGCUCCCUAAGUAGACUAUAAAAUUGCAACAAGUGCUUCUCUAUUACUUGAUGUUAUGGUUGUAAUAGAAGGUUAUGUCUCAUGUUAGGACUACCGUGGUCUGUACAGCUUAAUUUUAGAAAAUAAUGUUUCAACGUGCUUCAUGUUUUGCUGUGACUAUAAGGAGCACUGAUAGGAACAUGGGAGUUUUAUAUUUCAAAGUAAAAUUAGAGGGCCAAAGUAUGAUUUCAUAAGUCGUGUUAAACAUUCUCGUCGCAAAAAAUGCUUUUUGGUUGCCAGUUUUGCCCAGAGCCGCUAAACCCUGACUAAAUAAUAAGUCGUUGGGGGCUGGCUGGCUGGCUGGCUCAGCUGGUAAAGGCUCAGCUCACCAAGCCUGAUGAUCUGAGUUCAGUCCCCAGGACCCACAUGUUGGGAGGGGAGAACUGACUCCUGCAAGUUGUUCUCUUACCACGCCCGGGCCACGGCACGUGCACACUCACUAAAAUGUCAUAAAGAAAUGGCUGGUGUGGGUAUCUACCUGCCUUGGAAAGUGCUUCCUUCCCUCUCCAUCACUUCUUUUCAUUUGAAACUGAUUUUUUUUUUUUUGGCUACCGUCCAGAGUAGUGAGCAUCAUUAUAUGUGCAGCCUUAUGUUUUGCUGAUAUUCAUCCCCAUCGAUCGCUUUUAUUUCCUCUCUUCUGCUUAUCUCUUCCUGUAAAACGAUUCAGUGUGUGAACUUGUUCCUCCUGAAAGGGCAGAUCGCAUUUUCAGAUUGGAUUUUAAUGUAUUUCUGCAGAAACACAAACCCACAAAGAGGUGAAGCCUUGUGGGAGAUCUUGGUUAUUGAGGAGGGAAGGACACAGCUUCAAAGGGUACUGUGAACCCGCAGCCUCUUUCUCUCCCUCUUGUUCCCAUCCUGGCUCUGAGGUGAGUAGCUUUCUCUACCACAUUCUUCCUGCCAUGAUGUACUGUAUCUCUACUGGUCCAAAAGCAACAUGGCCAAUCACGAAUGGAAACCUCCAGAACUGUGAGCCGAAUUGCCCCUCUGUCUUUUAGUUGGUUAUCUAGGUAUUUACUGCCCUGAUGGAAAGCCAAAAAGGCUACUUAUCCAUGAAAAUCUGAGCACACGCUUUUAGCAGUUUUUACGUUGCCAAGUUGUGUUUUUCAUCCUUAUUUCCUUAACUUCAAAUUUUUUAUUUAAAAAUUUAGGUUGUAUUAUUCUCCCAAAGACACUAUUUUAAAAGUAAAUAAUUAUUUUCACAUAGGUAGCAAAUUCAAAAGAAUAAAAACGUAGUUCAUAUCCCACGUUAGAAUCCCAGUUUCCUUUCUUUAAGGCAACCACAGGGUAACCAGUCACAUCCCGAACGGAUUUGAGGUUCACUCCAGGGCAAGAAUUCACAUCUGAUACUAUAAACCUUGUCAAUGGCGGGUGGCCAGGGAGGUCAACCAGCCCUAGUAGGAAACUGUUGGGGUUCUUUUGCUACAGGGACAUGAUGUGCCCGUCGACUUGCCCUCUAAGUGUUGAUAUUUAUGUUUAUAGGUUAGUGCUGCACCAGGCUUUGUGACAGGAGCUUCUUUCUGCAGCGGGUAGAGGUGUGUGCAGAGACUAAAAUCUGGUCGAAGUGCCGAGGUUAAAUAAUGGUAGAAUGAUCCGCCAUAAACA